CAGCACGAGAGGAAAGACUUUAAUACUUAGAGGCUUGCAAAGGUAGGAAGGAGUAUGUGGUGAGAAUGGCUUUGAAAGUGUCAGUGAACCCUUACAGAGGGGUCAUAAAUGUCCAAAGAGGCAUCUAAGGACUUGGUCCUCAGUCCCAUGGUACAUUCAGUUCCGACUGGGAAAAAGAAACAGUUUUACUUCCUUCAUCGCUUUGUCUGUUCAGGCAAUUCGUAACUUCUUUUUCUUUUUCUUUUCUUUUUCCCCCUCCCCCCCCUUUUUUUUUCUCUUUUUUUUUUUUUUUUUUUUUUUCUUCUUGUACUUUGAAUAUCUUUUGGGAGUAAAAAUUCCAUUUGGACUAUUCAUUCUCUACCAGCCAUCCAGUGGGCAAGGACUUAUCACUCAGUGAUACCUAGUAGAGGUUUGUGUGCAGGAACACAGUGUGUGUUAUAGAAGAUGGCCCAUUCUUUUGGACUGCUUUAGAACAGUGAAUUCCAGUUGCCAGACCUGCUUGUAUGUGGAAGCACUAAGCAUACAGAAAAGCAUUACAUGGUUCGUGGACCUGGGCUGUCAGCUGGAAGAAAAGUUUCUGCAAGCUAAAAAGAAAAAAAAGAACAACCCCCAAACAAAACUGUAAACGAAAUGAAGGAAGUGGAGGCAGCUUCAAGCUUCAGCUUACUGCAGUACCCUCGGAUUUGAUCAGCUUAAUAUGUGACUCUGAGGAUAUGCUGAGUGAAAAGGAAAGAUCUAUAUGCUGAAAGAGGACGACACUGGAAAGGGAAAAAUUUAUACACUGGAAGAAGCAUGAAGCCAAAAGGAUUUCAGAAAUUAUUCAAAAACACUAUAAAUUUUAAUACCAAAUAAGAGUUAUGUAAACUUUUGAACCAGCCUAUAAAACUCAAUAGAACAGUAUGACAGCACUAAACUGGUAAUGGAUUCAAUUUCUUGUUAAAGUUUUCUUUUCCCACAAGAAAAUAAAAUGCACCAUUUUGAAAGAUCCUGGAAGAUGAAGUGAUCAGCUGGUUGACCUAAGAUGACAAACUAGUUCCUUUCCAUGUAUGAAUUUGAUGCUCUGCAAAUAUCCUAGUAAAUGCUGGCCCCAGAAAGUGGUUCACUCAGUCUGUUACACACUUUGACAGGUUAUAUAGCAGUUAAUAAUUAAGUGAAAGGAAGUUCUGUAUAAAAAAAUCUGCCAUCAUUAUGUUCCAACUCUCUAUGUAGAGUCCACUGGUGUGGCUAUAAGUGGUAUCUUUGCUGACCAAUAGCACUGCUGGCAAACUAUCAGGUAAUUGUAAGUAUGUAUUUACCAGAGAAAAAAAGACCGGUUUACGUGCUUCUGUUUGUGAGACACAGUUGUGGCUGUACUGCUCUGCUGUGCUGAGCCCAGAUCCUCUAUCUUGCUGUAGGAUAAGCCUUGUUCUACCUAUAUCUAGGCAGAAAUUUGUUUAAAAGAGUCACAUGAAGAAUCCAUGUUCUUUAGUCAUUUAUAUAGUUUGUCAGAACAAGAUUUAAAUAUUGUCAGUCAUCUUGAAUUAUAACUAGUUUACAGCUUGUGCUCUGAACCCAUCCAUCCUUUUGAUCUUUUUACCUUAAGAAUGCAACUAUGUGGGAAAUAACUUUAAAGUGAAUGAUACACAUCUGACAGACUUUAAGGAAAAAUAAGUAAGAAUUCAGAAACAUUCCAUGUAAAGAAAAAAAAAUGUACCUUUUUAGAAAUGAACUGUUGUGCUCAUUCAUUGCAGAAUUUAAGUAAGAGUAAUGUUUUACCUCCUUCUUAGCAGCAAAGAAGCAACAUCAGAUGAGGGAGACGUAUCUGCACAUUUUUACAUCUCACAAAUAAUCAGCAGGUUAGAGACAAUAAAACAACUUACCUAAAAUAGAAUACUGGAAGGUUUAAGGUGUCUAUGUUGAAACUGUGACUUGAAAACCCUGCGUUCAGUGUCUGCCCAACCAGAGUGUCAUUUAAACAUAACUGUCUUCCAUGUUUGCUCUGAAUCUUUUUGAGAUCACACAGUAUUCUGUUUCUGACCAUUCGCAGAAGGGCUCAGGGUGAAGCGGGCAUGUACCUCUGUCUGACUUAAACAGUCUGGGAAUCCAGAAGAUAAAUGGUAGUGUUAGCUUAUAGCACAGACCUGGAAAGUGCACUCAGACAAACGUAGUAUAUGCCAAUAAAACUGGAAACCUUUCAGAAGGAGACAACUUUUUACAUCUGCUUUGACCUCAGGUAUUUUAAACUCUAAUUUCUGAGGAGGCACACCUUACCCACUGGGUCCCAGGCUAGUCUACAUAGCUGUACAGAUGUGCACUACAACUGCAAAACUCAUUAAGAUUCAAGGAGAUAAAUGAGGAAGGAAACAAUUUUUAUGGAGCAAGCAGGAUUCUGGCCUUUGUCUUUGCCCCACACAGUUUGUAUGUCUAUUUUUCAGUAAAUAGUAGAACUAAGAAUAAUCCUAUGUUCCAUUAUUAACAUCUCAUCUUCAACAGUGGUUAUGUUUUUUUAAAAAAACGGAGCCUUUGAAACAAAAAUUGAAUUACCUUGAUGGUCUGUGGACACUGAGUGGAUGGAAAUAACCACAGUCUUCCACUGUGACAGAGUGCCUCAACUACAUAGGUUGGCAUUAUCUGACUUUCAAAAUUAUGAGUUAGAUUCUAGAUAACUCCAUAAUGUUUCUACUUUGUUAGUCCUCUCACAUAACAUCAUCUGUUCUCUGUAGGUAACAGCUCUCUAAUCUUGGCUUUGGAUUCUACUUUGUGGGCUAGAUGUCUGAAACCAUUGUGAGGGUCUGUGAGCACCUCUACACCUUUCUGGAACAUCCUGUGGGGAACAAGAGUUCUAAUUGAAGCACUUAAGACGUGCUCAGCACUUUUGCUUUAACUACUUUUGUCAUUUGUCUUUCUGGCAUCUCUAGAGUUCAUUGAAAUUUCUCUUGUAAUUCCUGAAAGUUUAAUUUGGACCUCAGUCUCCUCAAGGAAAUAUUGCUAAAGGUCAGAAGUAGGCUUAAAUCAUAAAGUUUCCAGGAGAGGGAAUCUAGGAAUUUCUCUCAGUUCCAUCUUUAACACUGUAGUAGAAGCCAGUGACAACAGGGCUUUGUAUUCCAGAUAUCAGACUGAGAAUGUGGUCUUGGCAUGUUGAAUAAUGUAAUUUGUGUACAUAUAAGCAAAGAAAAUAUUGAUAGUGAAAUAAUUAUGAAUAUAUAAAUGUGAGACAGUAGGAAGCCAUGUUUAAAGGCAUUUUUCAGUUUAUAACCACACUUUUAAGAAUUUCCUGUCUUUUCUUUUAGCCAGACACACGGGAUUAUUUUAGCGUACUUUUAUUUGUGUGUUGUUUCCUUUACAUUUUUGUUUGAGCAGAAGAGGAUGGGAAUAAAAAUGCAGUCUUCAACAAAGUUUUACAAAGUUUAUGAUUCUAGGCUGUAGUAAUUCCCCUAUGUACACUUAAAACAAUAAUAAAAAUGCAAGCACCAUAUUUUGAAAAGUUAUUAUGACUUAUUAUGUAAACAGAUGAUGAUAAAACAUUCUGAGUUAUUAUUCAAACACAAUACAUCAUAAUUGUUUCUUUGGAGACACUAUAUAUUUCUGUCAUGGGCUUUACUUACAGGAUUCUUUGUAAAACCUUCAUAAAGGUAAUUACUUUGUAUUCCCAUCAUCACAUUUCAAAAAUAGUGAUCUCAGCCUCUGAACAUGUAAACUCUGAAACAAAAGAAGAGUCCUAUUGUCUUCUUGUGUAAACAAAGCUUGUUUACAAGGUUGGGCCUUCCAACACUAAGCCUUACUCUCAAUACACAUGAUUAUACAGGUUUUCUAGAUAUAAAUGUGAACUCACAGAUGGUGGUUUCAGGCCACUUAAUCUUAAUAAGCUAGUUUAUUUGAUGAAAAACUUAGGAGCUGACUUUGUAUUUUUAACAUAUUUAUGGGAAAUGGAGAAUGAGUAUCUGAAGUUGAUAACUUCCCUUUGCAAAUUCUGGUUGAUACACAGGGCUUAACAAAUAUAGGUAGUAUCUUAUUCCACACUGAAUGGAAUAAAAAAUCACUUGUCUUUUGUUAAUAUAAAGUUCAUAAUUAAAUUAUUCUUGAAAUACUGUCAGACAUUUCAGCAAAAGAACAAAAAACAAAAGUUCUAUUUAGUGUGGAUUGGUGUUGUGAUAUACUUAAUAUCUACUUCAACAUUGAAUUAAAAGAUUCAGAAAUCUAUCAUAAUAUGCUUCAAAAAAAGAUCAAAGACAAUGAAUAAAGUUGGCAGAAUAUGUUUGCUUUUACAUGGAAAUUACUGAAAUAAAAGAUUAAAAUAUGUAUUGAUAUUUACUAGCACUAUUUUCCACUGAAGUAAAUGGGUAAACUCUUGGGCUUGAUAUUUCUAAGCCCUUGCUGGUUUGAUACUCCAUGUCUUCUUACUUGCAUUGAUACAAAUAUAGGAAGUACCUAUAGAUUGCAUAAAUGUUGAUCAUAAGUGUUGUUUCAGGAUGAAAUGUAUUGUCUGUUUCUGUGAAGCUAAUGGCUUUUUGGUCACACAGCUUAAAGUGAUGUGAAGAUUAUCAUGUUUGUCAUGAAGAUUGUCAAGUUUGUCAUUACUUCUGAACUCCCAAAAUAAAUUGAAAUAAAUAAAGGUUUUUCUUCUAAAUCAG
Molecule: long non-coding RNA, 4610 nt
Filed under: Gallus gallus (chicken)
Lineage: Eukaryota; Metazoa; Chordata; Aves; Galliformes; Phasianidae
Description: lncRNA (ENSGALG00010006514.1)
Source: RNAcentral